UACGUAGGGUGCAAGCGUUGUCCGGAAUUAUUGGGCGUAAAGAGCUCGUAGGCGGUUUGUCGCGUCUGCUGUGAAAACCCGAGGCUCAACCUCGGGCCUGCAGUGGGUACGGGCAGACUAGAGUGCGGUAGGGGAGAUUGGAAUUCCUGGUGUAGCGGUGGAAUGCGCAGAUAUCAGGAGGAACACCGGUGGCGAAGGCGGUUCUCUGGGCAUUACCUGACGCUGAGGAGCGAAAGUGUGGGGAGCGAACAGG
This 253-nucleotide ribosomal RNA is filed under the name uncultured bacterium. RNAcentral's name for it is "partial 16S ribosomal RNA". It matches the Rfam family "Bacterial small subunit ribosomal RNA", at positions 524 to 776 of the family's 1533-position model. The record is from RNAcentral.